AAAACAUCCGAUGCACUGAAAACUCUAAUCCCCAGAAAUCUUUGACUAUAUCAAUCAAAGAAUAAUUAAAUAUAAACUAGUAUAAGAAGAAUACCUAUAGCACUAAUCUAAUUUUUAUGAGGCAUCCAAGUAUUCAUCUUCCAAUGAUGAUCCAUACAGAAAUUGAACUAAAGACAGCUCCUCCUUCACCUUACUUCAAGAGUUCUAGCCCUUAGAACUCGACUAGCCU
This 229-nucleotide long non-coding RNA is filed under the name Elaeis guineensis (African oil palm). RNAcentral describes it as "long non-coding RNA (EGUI_LNC045615)". Lineage: Eukaryota; Viridiplantae; Streptophyta; Magnoliopsida; Arecales; Arecaceae. The record is from RNAcentral.